UCGACGCGAGCACUUGUGCUCGAGUGGCGAACGGGUGAGUAAUACAUAAGUAACCUGCCCUAGACAGGGGGAUAACUAUUGGAAACGAUAGCUAAGACCGCAUAGGUACGGACACUGCAUGGUGACCGUAUUAAAAGUGCCUCAAAGCACUGGUAGAGGAUGGACUUAUGGCGCAUUAGCUGGCUGGCGGGGUAACAGCCCACCAAGGCGACGAUGCGUAGCCGACCUGAGAGGGUGACCGGCCACACUGGGACUGAGACACGGCCCAGACUCCUACGGGAGGCAGCAGUAGGGAAUUUUCGGCAAUGGGGGAAACCCUGACCGAGCAACGCCGCGUGAAGGAAGAAGGUUUUCGGAUUGUAAACUUCUGUUAUAAAGGAAGAACGGCGGCUACAGGAAAUGGUAGCCGAGUGACGGUACUUUAUUAGAAAGCCACGGCUAACUACGUGCCAGCAGCCGCGGUAAUACGUAGGUGGCAAGCGUUAUCCGGAAUUAUUGGGCGUAAAGAGGGAGCAGGCGGUAGCAAGGGUCUGUGGUGAAAGCCUGAAGCUUAACUUCAGUAAGCCAUAGAAACCAGGCAGCUAGAGUGCAGGAGAGGAUCGUGGAAUUCCAUGUGUAGCGGUGAAAUGCGUAGAUAUAUGGAGGAACACCAGUGGCGAAGGCGACGAUCUGGCCUGCAACUGACGCUCAGUCCCGAAAGCGUGGGGAGCAAAUAGGAUUAGAUACCCUAGUAGUCCACGCCGUAAACGAUGAGUACUAAGUG
Molecule: ribosomal RNA, 763 nt
Filed under: uncultured bacterium
Lineage: Bacteria
Description: bacterial SSU rRNA
Rfam family: Bacterial small subunit ribosomal RNA
Source: RNAcentral